GGGUGAGUAACGCGUGGGUAACCUGCCGUAUACAGGGGGAUAACACUUAGAAAUAGGUGCUAAAACCGCAUAAGCGCACAGGAUCGCAUGGUCUGGUGUGAAAAACUCCGGUGGUAUACGAUGGACCCGCGUCUGAUUAGCUUGUUGGCGGGGUAGAGGCCCACCAAGGCGACAAUCAGUAGCCGGCCUGAGAGGGUGAACGGCCACAUUGGGACUGAGACACGGCCCAAACUCCUACGGGAGGCAGCAGUGGGGAAUAUUGCACAAUGGGGGAAACCCUGAUGCAGCGACGCCGCGUGAGUGAAGAAGUAUUUCGGUAUGUAAAGCUCUAUCAGCAGGAAAGAAAAUGACGGUACCUGACUAAGAAGCCCCGGCUAACUACGUGCCAGCAGCCGCGGUAAUACGUAGGGGGCAAGCGUUAUCCGGAUUUACUGGGUGUAAAGGGAGCGUAGACGGUGAAGCAAGUCUGAAGUGAAAGGCGGGGGCUCAACCCCCGGACUGCUUUGGAAACUGUUUGACUGGAGUGCAGGAGAGGUAAGUGGAAUUCCUAGUGUAGCGGUGAAAUGCGUAGAUAUUAGGAGGAACACCAGUGGCGAAGGCGGCUUACUGGACUGUAACUGACGUUGAGGCUCGAAAGCGUGGGGAGCAAACAGGAUUAGAUACCCUGGUAGUCCACGCGGUAA
RNAcentral lists this ribosomal RNA (683 nucleotides) under uncultured bacterium. Its description in RNAcentral is "bacterial SSU rRNA". It matches the Rfam family "Bacterial small subunit ribosomal RNA", at positions 104 to 805 of the family's 1533-position model. The record is from RNAcentral.